GACGAACGCUGGCGGCGUGCUUAACACAUGCAAGUCGAACGGUGAAGCGCUUUCCUUUUUGGUUGGUGUGGAUGAGUGGCGAACGGGUGAGUAACACGUGAGUAACCUGCCCCCUUCUUCUGGAUAACCGCAUGAAAGUGUGGCUAAUACGGGAUAUUCUGCGCCUGCUGCAUGGUGGGUGUGGGAAAGAUUGUGCCUUUGGGUGUUUUCGGUGGGGGAUGGGCUCGCGGCCUAUCAGCUUGUUGGUGGGGUGAUGGCCUACCAAGGCGGUGACGGGUAGCCGGCCUGAGAGGGUGGACGGUCACACUGGGACUGAGACACGGCCCAGACUCCUACGGGAGGCAGCAGUGGGGAAUAUUGCACAAUGGGCGCAAGCCUGAUGCAGCGACGCCGCGUGAGGGAUGGAGGCCUUCGGGUUGUGAACCUCUUUCGCCAGUGAAGCAGGCCUGCUCCGUGUGGGUGGGUUGACGGUAGCUGGAGAAGAAGCGCCGGCUAACUACGUG
This 503-nucleotide ribosomal RNA is filed under the name uncultured bacterium. Its description in RNAcentral is "partial 16S ribosomal RNA". It matches the Rfam family "Bacterial small subunit ribosomal RNA", at positions 28 to 507 of the family's 1533-position model. The record is from RNAcentral.